RNAcentral lists this ribosomal RNA (253 nucleotides) under uncultured bacterium. RNAcentral's name for it is "partial 16S ribosomal RNA". It matches the Rfam family "Bacterial small subunit ribosomal RNA", at positions 524 to 776 of the family's 1533-position model. The record is from RNAcentral.
UACGUAGGGGGCUAGCGUUGUCCGGAAUCAUUGGGCGUAAAGCGCACGUAGGCGGCCCGAAAAGUCGGAUGUGAAAGCCCUGGGCUCAACCUAGGAAGUGCAUUCGAAACUGCCGGGCUUGAGUACGGGAGAGGGUUGCGGAAUUCCCGGUGUAGAGGUGAAAUGCGCAGAUAUCAGGAGGAACACCAAUUGCGAAGGCAGCUCGCUGGGACGUUACUGACGCUGAGACGCGAAAGCGUGGGGAGCAAACAGG